RNAcentral lists this long non-coding RNA (518 nucleotides) under Phascolarctos cinereus (koala). RNAcentral's name for it is "lncRNA (ENSPCIG00000007689.2)". Lineage: Eukaryota; Metazoa; Chordata; Mammalia; Diprotodontia; Phascolarctidae. The record is from RNAcentral.
GGGGUUCACAGCGCUGAGCUCUGGCCCACUGCAGCCCCUACCCCAACCCGGGCCCCCACUCUAGACCAAGCAUCAGAAGAAUACAAAUCCCCCGCCCUCUGGAGCCUUGGGGCUAAGACCCGCCCCCCCCCCCACGAGCGCCCAGUACUCUGGGCUUUUUCCUUGUCCCAUUGGUCAUCCCUGUUUCCUUCCCCAGGCCCCCCAGCUCUCAGCGAGGCUCAGUCUCUUGCACACCCACUGCUCACCUCGUCGCGUCCCAACACGGAAGACUCAGUUGCUUUGUUCCAGAAAGAACACACACAGAAAAUGGGGCUGAUCAGAUGGCCCCUCACUGCCUCUUUUCUCUGCCAUGUCACCAGCAGCCCAGGAAUAGUAGAGUGGAAAUUUGGAGUUGCUAGAAUUGGAUCAGAAUGUAAGCUCUUUGAGAACAGGUACUGUUUUAUUUUUGUCUUUAUCCCUAGCACCUAGGAUAGUGCCUGACAUAUAGUAGGCAUUUAAUAAAAGCUUGUUGAUUGAAC